RNAcentral lists this ribosomal RNA (253 nucleotides) under uncultured bacterium. RNAcentral's name for it is "partial 16S ribosomal RNA". It matches the Rfam family "Bacterial small subunit ribosomal RNA", at positions 524 to 776 of the family's 1533-position model. The record is from RNAcentral.
UACGUAGGGUGCAAGCGUUAAUCGGAAUUACUGGGCGUAAAGCGUGCGCAGGCGGUUUUGUAAGCCGGGUGUGAAAUCCCCGGGCUUAACCUGGGAAUGGCAUUCGGGACUGCAAGGCUGGAGUGCGGCAGAGGAGACUGGAAUUCCUGGUGUAGCAGUGAAAUGCGUAGAUAUCAGGAGGAACACCGAUGGCGAAGGCAGGUCGCUGGGCUGACACUGACGCUCAUGCACGAAAGCGUGGGGAGCAAACAGG